UACAGAGGGUGCAAACGUUGUUCGGAUUUACUGGGCGUAAAGCGCGUGUAGGCGGUUUCCCAAGUCGGAUGUGAAAGCCCGGGGCUCAACCUCGGAAGUGCAUUCGAUACUGGAAGACUGGAGUCUCGGAGAGGAUGGUGGAACUCUCGGUGUAGAGGUGAAAUUCGUAGAUAUCGAGAAGAACACCGGUGGCGAAGGCGGCCAUCUGGACGAUGACUGACGCUGAGACGCGAAAGCGUGGGGAGCAAACAGG
Molecule: ribosomal RNA, 253 nt
Filed under: uncultured bacterium
Lineage: Bacteria
Description: partial 16S ribosomal RNA
Rfam family: Bacterial small subunit ribosomal RNA
Source: RNAcentral